UACGUAGGGUGCAAGCGUUAUCCGGAUUCACUGGGUUUAAAGGGAGCGCAGGCGGAUUGGUAAGUCAGUGGUGAAAGGCUUAAGCUUAACUUGGGAACUGCCAUUGAUACUAUCAGUCUUGAAUGUUGUUGAGGUUUGCGGAAUGGGUCAUGUAGCGGUGAAAUGCAUAGAUAUGACCCGGAACACCUAUUGCGAAGGCAGCAGGCUAAACAAAUAUUGACGCUGAGGCUCGAAAGCGUGGGGAUCAAACAGG
RNAcentral lists this ribosomal RNA (253 nucleotides) under uncultured bacterium. RNAcentral describes it as "partial 16S ribosomal RNA". It matches the Rfam family "Bacterial small subunit ribosomal RNA", at positions 524 to 776 of the family's 1533-position model. The record is from RNAcentral.